RNAcentral lists this ribosomal RNA (492 nucleotides) under uncultured bacterium. Its description in RNAcentral is "partial 16S ribosomal RNA". It matches the Rfam family "Bacterial small subunit ribosomal RNA", at positions 29 to 507 of the family's 1533-position model. The record is from RNAcentral.
AGUGAACGCUGGCGGUAGGCCUAACACAUGCAAGUCGAACGGCAGCACAGUAAGAGCUUGCUCUUACGGGUGGCGAGUGGCGGACGGGUGAGGAAUACAUCGGAAUCUACUUUUUCGUGGGGGAUAACGUAGGGAAACUUACGCUAAUACCGCAUACGACCUACGGGUGAAAGCAGGGGAUCUUCGGACCUUGCGCGAUUGAAUGAGCCGAUGUCGGAUUAGCUAGUUGGCGGGGUAAAGGCCCACCAGGGCAACGAUCCGUAGCUGGUCUGAGAGGAUGAUCAGCCACACUGGAACUGAGACACGGUCCAGACUCCUACGGGAGGCAGCAGUGGGGAAUAUUGGACAAUGGGCGCAAGCCUGAUCCAGCCAUACCGCGUGGGUGAAGAAGGCCUUCGGGUUGUAAAGCCCUUUUGUUGGGAAAGAAAAGCAGCAGGUUAAUACCCCGCUGUUCUGACGGUACCCAAAGAAUAAGCACCGGCUAACUUCGCG